CAGAGUUCUUUGCAACUCCCAACCCUGUGAACCAUACCAAUUUUUGUUGUUGCUUCUGGCAGGCAGGCCUCCGGGCCUCCUGCCAGCGGCAGCCUGCUCCAACCUUCUUUCGUAUCUUACCGUCAGAGCUUCUAAAAAAAUAAAUCA
RNAcentral lists this unclassified non-coding RNA (147 nucleotides) under uncultured Sporothrix. RNAcentral describes it as "sequence contains ITS1". Lineage: Eukaryota; Fungi; Ascomycota; Sordariomycetes; Ophiostomatales; Ophiostomataceae. The record is from RNAcentral.